RNAcentral lists this RNase P RNA (441 nucleotides) under Deltaproteobacteria bacterium. Its description in RNAcentral is "RNase P RNA component class A". It matches the Rfam family "Bacterial RNase P class A". Rfam says of the family: Ribonuclease P (RNase P) is a ubiquitous endoribonuclease, found in archaea, bacteria and eukarya as well as chloroplasts and mitochondria. Its best characterised activity is the generation of mature 5'-ends of tRNAs by cleaving the 5'-leader elements of precursor-tRNAs. Cellular RNase Ps are ribonucleoproteins. Lineage: Bacteria; Pseudomonadati; Myxococcota; Myxococcia. The record is from RNAcentral.
UGAGGAGGCCAGGUGGCCGCCGGUCCGCCGUAGCCAUGGCGAGAGCCAUGGCGAAGGCGGGCGGGAGGAAAGUCCGGGCUCCGCAGGGCAGGGUGCCGGGUAAUCCCCGGUGGGGGCGACCCCGAGGACAGUGCCACAGAAAACAUACCGCCCGCCGAAGCGGCGGCGCAAGCCGCUGCGAAGGCGGGUAAGGGUGAAAUGGUGAGGUAAGAGCUCACCGCGGGCCGGGCGACCGGCCUGGCACGGCAAACCCCACCCGGAGCAAGACCGAAUAGGAGGGCGACGGCCCCGCCGUUUUCCGGCGGGACCGGAAGGGCGGCCCGCCCGGGGCCCUCGGGUACAGGUCGCUGGAGGCGCGCGGUAACGCGCGUCCUAGAGAAAUGGCCGUCACGCGGCGGUUCGCCGCCGCGCACAGAACCCGGCUUACGGCCUCCUCGGACA